UUCCGGUUGAUCCCGCCGGACCCGACUGCUAUUUGGGUGAGGAUAAGCCAUGCAAGUCGAAUGGGAUACCUAAAUUUCCCAUGGCAAACUGCUCAGUAACACAUGAUCAACUUGCCCUAUGGAGAAAAAUAACCUCGGGAAACUGAGGAUAAUGUUUCACAGUUGAAUAGGCUUGGAAAAGUUUUUCAAUGAAAUGGAAAAGAAAAAUGGUUCUUUUCCGCCAUAGGAUAGGAUCGUGGUCGAUUAUGGUUGUUGGUGAGGUAAAGGCUCACCAAGCCGAUAAUCGAUAGGGGCCGUGAGAGCGGGAGCCCCGAGAUGGGUACUGAGACACCGACCCAGACCUUACGAGGUGCAGCAGGCGCGAGACCUCCGCAAUACACGAAAGUGUGACGGGGUUACCCAAAGUGUUCAUUUUUGAACUGUGGUAGGUGAGUAAUGUUCCCUACUAGAAAGGAGAGGGCAAGGCUGGUGCCAGCCGCCGCGGUAAAACCAGCUCUUCAAGUGGUCGGGAUGAUUAUUGGGCUUAAAGUGUCCGUAGCCGGUUUAGUAAGUUCCUGGUAAAAUCGGGUAGCUUAACUAUCUAUAUGCUAGGAAUACUGCUAUACUAGAGGGCGGGAGAGGUCUGAGG
Molecule: ribosomal RNA, 628 nt
Filed under: uncultured archaeon
Lineage: Archaea
Description: bacterial SSU rRNA
Rfam family: Archaeal small subunit ribosomal RNA
Source: RNAcentral